CCGGUAAACCUCUGUUCGGAACACGUCGGAUCUCUCUUUCUGCGUUUUGCUUACUGUUCGAACUCCAAUUACAUGUAACCUUGUUGUUGGGAUCGGAUCAUUUGAGUCUCUUUGGGAUUCUUUGUUUUAAGUUAAAUGAUGCUUCUUGCGCCGGAUCGGAGCCACAGUUAUGUGCCUCGAUCGAGGAUUGUAUGCUUCCGUCUCUGUCUGUUUAGUUCUGAGCCGAAUCGGAUCUUGUUCUGCUAUAUAUCAAGGAUUUUACCUGCGCUAGUUGCUUGUGAAUCCAGAUAUAGAAGUUUCAACUUUCAUGUACUUAUUUUGCUGGAUCUUGUAUUGGAGUUCAAGAAAUAUGUCUGAUCUUGCUUUCACCAUUUUCUUUCAAAUGUCUCUCCUGAUUAGGGUUCCAGAUACACUAGUUCUAUCUUCCUCGUAGUAGAUCUGCAGGGAUGACUCUGGUUUUCUAGAAUAUAACCGAACUUUCUUUUUCAUCUAGACUAUAGUAUUAUUAUAUAUUGCUUUGUUGCAGAAAAGAGUUGGUGCAUCAAAUGCAGAAGUCACCAUAAGUCCAAGUCAGUUGUGCUGUGUUUGUCCCGCAUUUGUCCCACAUAUGCACAAAGUAAAGUUGGAUGAAGUUUGGCUGUUUUAUUUCUUCGGAUCUCAGUGACUGGCUUUAAGAUCUUAGAGAUGUGAUAGCGUUGCUGUUUCCUGAUCUAAUACUGUCCUUGAAGGUCAUUGAUCUGCCCAAUCAGUUCUGAUAGAGCCCUAUCUACCAAAUCAUAUCAAUGAAAAUAAACCUAAUAAUUUUCGUUAAUUUUUUUAUGUUGACAACAAUGGCAUUUUGCAUAGGCUUCGAAGAUUUUGAACCCCCAUCGUGUGUUCUGAACAUAUCAUAUAUCUGCCCUUUGCAUAUGGAUGAGUGAUGCCUGCAGGCUACUCAUGCCUUUGGGCCUAAUUUAAUGCGGAUGGGGGCAAUGACAGUCACAAUAAUAGUGAUAGUUAUUUUAUUUUCUUUGUAAUAAUAAUUCUCAUUGAUGGCUUUUAAUGUUCGUAAUGCCACAAUCACUGUCCCAUUUUUCAAUAAUGUGCACGAUGUGCAGCCUGAAUACAAAUCCUUGGACAUGAACAGUUAGGCAAAAGAAGUGCAGAUUACGUGCUGAUUAAUUAGCUUGUUGAUUGACAACUAUUAUAUUCUAUAUUUGUUGACUGUGUAUGAUACAUUAUGGAUGUAGUUUAAAAAUGAGCCAUGGUUAAUCUAGGGCAGCAGAAAUCUGAAAGAACGUUUCUGUUUGGAAGUUUUUGUCUGAAUACUUUUUCUGUUUUUUUCUUUUUUUGCAUUUUACUCAUGACCAGCAACUUCUAUAUUCUUCAAUGUUCCAACAAGUAUACAUUUAAGAUAAGACGAUGAAUUGUUUACAAUGAAAAUUCAUUGUACGUUUAUCAGAUUCUCAUUAUGGCUCCACCUCCUGAAGUACCAACCAAGGCUUCUGGCCUGCAAAUUUCUCAUCCACCACUCAAUGAGAGAAUACUUUCAUCCAUGUCUAGAAGGUCUGUUGCAGCACAUCCUUGGCAUGAUCUUGAAAUAGGUACUCAAUCUCAUAAAAAAAAUUUCAUGUGGUCAUCUAUUCAUCUCUUUCUAUGUUAAUUCCUUUCUUCAUUGGACUUUGGAUUUUGCUUGCAGGCCCUGGUGCGCCUACAAUAUUCAACUGUGUGAGUACACUAUACCUUUCAAUAUUGAGUUGUCCUAUCACAGGGUUUGAUGCUAAUAAAAGGACUUCAUUGUGGUGCUAGAACAUAAAAUUUGGCAACUUUGCUUGUUUUGGCAUGAAAGUAAUUGUGUGUAACCUAGCUAAAAUAUUCAACUGAUAGUGUCUUUAACAAUUAAUAUCUUAAUUCAAUAAUUCAUUUUAUAGGAUCUUUCGGACUUACAUUUAUGUGGAUGAAAAGGAUACUAUAUAUUUGUACUUGAAACAGGAUGCCGUACCUAAUAUUAUAAACAACAAGUUUAAUUCCUGCAGGUGGUGGAAAUAGGAAAGGGAAGCAAAGUGAAAUAUGAACUUGACAAGAAAACUGGGUUGAUAAAGGUAUGCAUGGUACUUUACCCUGUUGCUUCCUUUCUGCUUUCUGUUGUAAACUUCAUAUUUGUUUUCUGUACACAGGUAGACCGAGUGCUUUACUCAUCUGUGGUGUAUCCUCAUAACUAUGGUUUCAUCCCACGCACUCUUUGUGAAGAUAAUGAUCCUUUGGAUGUAUUGGUUAUCAUGCAGGUUUGUAACACUUAGCUCUCAUGGUCGUAAUACUCAUUUACAUUUGUGUAUAAAAGGAAAUAGUUUCCCAACAAAUGCCAUCACAUAAGUCUAUCAGAAAUUUUUCAUAAUUUUUAAGUCUAAAAUUUUAAGUUAUUUCCCUUAUAUUUUUUCCUUUAACAUUUGUAGUUGUUAGUUACUUAAUGGAAUCUAUUAGAAUAGUAAUUGCUGAUGCUGAAUCAACAGGAACCAGUACUCCCAGGAUGCUUUCUUCGAGCUAAAGCCAUUGGUCUAAUGCCUAUGAUCGAUCAGGUCUUGUUUAUGCAUUACUAUGUUGGACCAUUUGAUUUCAUAAUUCAAGGCAUUUGAUUGCUUGACAUUGAUAUAAAAGGUGCUGAUGCAAUUCAUCAUAUCAUAAACAGGGGGAGAAAGAUGACAAGAUAAUUGCCGUCUGUGCUGAUGAUCCUGAAUACAAGCAUUACAAUGAUAUCAAAGAGCUCCCACCUCAUCGUUUAGCUGAGAUCAGGCGUUUCUUUGAAGACUGUAUCCUUGUAUAUUUGUGAACAUUUUUAAAAGGUUAUCCACAAAACAAAGUAAUAUGGUCAAUUAAAUUUCCAGACUUAGGUCCGCCCUACAAUCUACAUCUAUAGAUGCUUGUCAUGUAUAAUUCAUUGAUCACUCUCAUUUUUAAGAAAAGGAUAGACUAGUGUGUAAGACUCUGGCCAAUGUUGAAUAUAGAUAAAAUUAAUAUUUGAUUUCUUACAUUUACCAUAGUGUUUUCAUGACUCGAAUCUAGAUCAUUAGUAGGUAGGUAUUUUGUGUUACAAUUUACUUGUAUUUUUCACUUAUGCUUCUAGAGCACAUGCUUGUAAGAUAUAUUUUCACCCACUCAUUGUCUUAUGUGCUCUCAUCUCCUUCGGUUUUGGUGUAUCUUAUGCAAAGCAGGAGACAGGUAUUGAUCUUAUAGAGAAACUACUGAUGUUUUAGCUCAUGUAAAGUUCAACUUUGUCCUCUAUAUCUGAAACUCUUCCCAGAAGUAUAAAUCCACAAGUAUUAGACUCAUCAAAUUUGAUUCUCCUUGACCAUAGAAAAUCAGAUAAGAAAAAUGAAAACAAGGACGUUGCUGUAAAUGACUUCCUGCCUGCAUCUUCAGCUUACAAAGCAAUACAGCAUUCCAUGUAAGUAUUAUCAUGUUUGUCAUUUUUUUAUAUCUUUGGCUUGCUGCCUACGUAUCCUCAAUUAUAUUACAGGACUGGUAUAUCUUUACAAUAAAAUACUUACCUAAAACUUGAUGUUGCUUUUUUCAAAAUACAUAAGAAAUUAAUCCAUUUAGUUAGAGUCAUUCCUGCCUAAUGCUUGGGGAGACAUGUGAUCGGGGAUCAAAAUUCGGACCAUUUUCACAAUAUGAUCCCUAAGCACAACUGUUUAUGACAAAGCAUAUAACAUUGCCCUACAUGUGAUAACAACUUCAAAUUGGACCGCAGUAUUAUCUUUUUUCUUGUUAUGCCCUAAUCAAAUUUGCGGAAUGUUAUUCUUGGUCUUUAGGUUUUAGAACAUUCAGACUGGAACAACUUGGACGGUCUUCAUUUCUGAUUGCAUUCCUGUACUUGGGAUGUAAAUCAUAUUCUUUUAUUAUAAAAGAGAUUUGUAGUAUUUGCUAUUUUUCACAUAAUCUAUAUCCCCUUUUGAUAUUUGAACUUACUUUCAGGGACCUUUAUGCUACUUACAUUGUUGAAAGCUUGAGGAGGUAGGAGGCAUUUGGAGGGGCGAUUAUAUAUAUAUAUAUAUAUAUAUAUAUAUAUAUAUAUAUAUAUAUAUCUAGGAGGACCAUUCAAACAGUUCUUUGUUGAUGCUUGUUACAUGACACUUUGCCAAUGAGGGUAUAUCAAAGUGGACACUGUUACAACGAAAGUGCUAGUUGUUUAAUGUAAUUGCAAGCCUGGUUACUUUAUUAAUCGCAUAGGAAGUUGCUUGCUUAUUCAUGUGAUUGUAUAGACUAGACUGGAAGUUGCUUGUUCAUGUGAUUGUAAACACUUGGUGUCUAUUUUUCUCCUAUUAUCAAAAGCCAAACAGUGUACUGCAUCUCUGGUGAUCUUUGCAAAAUAUGAUAACCUGUUUGUUUUGGAAAAUGCUGGACUGGUUACCUCCAUUAUUUGAGUCAUAGGAAGAUCGACUAGUUACAUUACUUUUGACAUUAAUGCUAAAAUAGAUUAUAAAUCCUUGUUAAUGCUCUUGACAUCAUUCGGGAUUGUUAAACCGAGCAGGCAAAUUCUACUGUAUGAGAUGUGUCUUAUGCAUAUCUGCCAUCCCAAAGCCAUAGUGGUUUCUGUAUGAGAUGUCUUGUGAAAUCGCAGAGUGCGAGUAAAGAUGUUAGAGCUAGUCUCUUUGUUUGGUUGUCAGCCACAUUUAAUUUUGACCCGAAUUGGACGUGAAAGCUUCGGAGCUGGAUUAGGCUUCGUAGUUAUUUUAAUUGUUCUAGUCAACAUUGUUGUAGUUAUUUUAGUUGCUAGAACAACAAAACACACUUCAUCCUUUCAACUUACUUAAUGAGCGAGAUUGCACCUUUACAUUACGGCGGCAACGUGGAGCCAUCGCGUCGAACGGACGCGGGAACGCGAAGGUUCGAACUUAGCGGUGUUACAAUAAAGCGCCAGAGCCCCUAUUUAAGGGGAGGAAGCGGGAAGCCAAAAUCCAUCUCGUCGUUUUCUCUCUUCUGCCGGCCCGACUCCAUUUCUAGGGCUUGGUUCUCGUUUUCUCUUCCCUUGCUCUGAUCUCCGGCUUCGAGGAGAUCCGGAGCGGUUCCAGCUCCUGUUCCGAUCUACUGAUUCCGGUAAACCUCUCUUUGGAACACCUCAGAUCUGUCUUUUUGCGGUUUUAUUACUGUUUGAAUUUCGAUUACAUGAAACCUUGUUUGUUGGGUUGGGUGUCUUUGAGGGUUCUUUGUUCGAAGUUUGAUGAUGCGUUUCGGGCCAGAUCGGAGCCAGAGACAUGGGCCUCGAUCGAGGAUUGUAUGCUUCCGUCUCUGUCUGUUUAGUUCUGAGCCGAAUCGGAUCUUGUUCUGCUAUAUAUCAAGGAUUUUACCUGCGCUAGUUGCUUGUGAAUCCAGAUAUAGAAGUUUCAACUUUCAUGUACUUAUUUUGCUGGAUCUAGUCUUGGAGUUCAAGAAAUAUGUCUGAUCUUGCUUCCACCAUUUUCUUUCAAAUGUCUCUCCUGAUUAGGGUUCCAGAUACACUAGUUCUAUCUUCCUCGUAGUAGAUCUGCAGGGAUGACUCUGAUUUUCUAGAAUAUAACCGAACUUUCUUUUUCAUCUAGACUAUAGUAUUAUUAUAUAUUGCUUUGUUGCAUAAAAGAGUUGGUGCAUCAAAUGCAGAAGUCACCAUAAGUCCAAG
Molecule: long non-coding RNA, 5632 nt
Filed under: Musa acuminata (dwarf banana)
Lineage: Eukaryota; Viridiplantae; Streptophyta; Magnoliopsida; Zingiberales; Musaceae
Description: long non-coding RNA (MACU_LNC006029)
Source: RNAcentral